ACUCUUUAGUUAUGAGGACAACCAACCCAUAUGGCACACAACGACCUAUGCUCGAUAAACGUUGUCGUCCUUGGUAACAACGUAUCAUUUGGUCGUGAACAGGUUUAAGGACUAAGCGACAAAUCCUCUUUUGUCGAGUCUAAAUAGUCCUAAGGACUUCACCACAACACAGGAGUUCAUUAGAAGAUGAAAUAUUUGUGAUGAAAAAAUACCAAAAUAAUUUUUAUUUAUUUAUAAUUCAUGUACU
RNAcentral lists this long non-coding RNA (247 nucleotides) under Elaeis guineensis (African oil palm). RNAcentral's name for it is "long non-coding RNA (EGUI_LNC016910)". Lineage: Eukaryota; Viridiplantae; Streptophyta; Magnoliopsida; Arecales; Arecaceae. The record is from RNAcentral.